Molecule: transfer RNA, 71 nt
Filed under: Sporosarcina sp. Marseille-Q4063
Lineage: Bacteria; Bacillati; Bacillota; Bacilli; Caryophanales; Caryophanaceae
Rfam family: tRNA
About the family: Transfer RNA (tRNA) molecules are approximately 80 nucleotides in length. Their secondary structure includes four short double-helical elements and three loops (D, anti-codon, and T loops).
Source: Rfam by way of RNAcentral
GGGGCCUUAGUAUAAUGGGAUUACGCUUGCAUGGCAUGCAAAUAAUACGAGUUCGAUUCUCGUAGGCUCCA